AUUGAACGCUGGCGGCAUGCCUUACACAUGCAAGUCGAACGGCAGCACGGGAGCAAUCCUGGUGGCGAGUGGCGAACGGGUGAGUAAUAUAUCGGAACGUGCCCAGUCGUGGGGAUAACGUAGCGAAAGCUACGCUAAUACCGCAUACGAUCUAUGGAUGAAAGCGGGGGAUCGCAAGACCUCGCGCGAUUGGAGCGGCCGAUAUCAGAUUAGGUAGUUGGUGAGGUAAAGGCUCACCAAGCCGACGAUCUGUAGCUGGUCUGAGAGGACGACCAGCCACACUGGGACUGAGACACGGCCCAGACUCCUACGGGAGGCAGCAGUGGGGAAUUUUGGACAACGGGCGCAAGCCUGAUCCAGCAAUGCCGCGUGCAGGAUGAAGGCCUUCGGUUGUAAC
Molecule: ribosomal RNA, 397 nt
Filed under: uncultured bacterium
Lineage: Bacteria
Description: bacterial SSU rRNA
Rfam family: Bacterial small subunit ribosomal RNA
Source: RNAcentral